AAUACAUUACGGUAUCUGAUCCUGCAGUUUGAUGAAAACAUAGAAAACUCAAAUUCUCAUCAUAUCGUACUCUUUCAAAACAUUUUCAAACAAAAAAAUGUAUCACACUUGUACUUUAUCUCGAAUCGCUGUGUUUUCAAGUUGCUUAUUUUAUUAUUCGUUAACUCAAGCAGGUCAAUGGUGUUUCUUAUUAUGUACAAGAGUUUUUUCCAUUUUGAAAACAAAACCUGUGAAGGAAAGAUUCGGAGAAUGGGUUGUUAUAACGGGGGCUACUGAUGGAAUAGGAGAAGCUAUUGCAAAACUUUUAUACAGUAAAAACAUGAAUCUAUUUCUUAUUUCAAGAGAUCAGACAAAAUUGAACGAAACAAAAAAACGUAUCGAAAAAGAAAAAAAUAAUGGUGUUGAAAUGAUGAAUCAAAUAAAAGUAUUUGAGUUUGAUUUUUCCUUCGCUAAAUGGAAUUCAGAGAGAUUUGAACUGUUAAAAAAAGAGCUUGAGACUUUAAAUCUGGGGAUUCUGGUUAAUAAUGUGGGGUUAGGAUAUCCAUCGGCUCAGGAGUAUAAUGAACUUUCUCCAUCAUUUAUUGAUGAUCUUAUUUCGGUGAAUCUACGUUCAUGCCUUCAAAUGACGCGAAUGGUUCUACCUCAAAUGCGUCAACGUCGUCGGGGCGCUAUAUUAUGUAUAGGAAGCGGUGCAGGAUCUUUACCAAGUGAACCGUUGUAUAGUGGAUAUGUAUCUGUCAAAGGAGCCGUUUCAGCGUUUUGUAAUUCUUUGAAAGUUGAAUGUGUAAAGGAUAAUAUUUUAGUUCAAUGUCUCACACCUUUAUUAAUAACAACAAAACUUUCUAAAAUAAAGCGCCCAUCUUUUUCUGUACUAACUCCACAAAAAUUUGCUAUUGACGCUUUACAUUCAAUUGAGAACGAAUCGUCUUCCUCGUAUUGGACAACAGCUACACGGUGUCCUAGUUUUGUUCAUGAAAUUAUUUUACUUCUUUCUUCAAAAGUUGUUCCACUUGGAAUUUGGAAUAGAAUAAGAUUAUAUCAAACUCAAGAUCUUCGUCAGCGAUAUAUGAAUAAAACACGUUAAUUGUUUUAACACAAAGCUAAACUGUUGUCACUAAUAAUAGUUAAACGGACACAAUAAAGUGGAAACAUGAUUUCACUCCAGUGUUGUUUCUAUUGCAUCCAUAACUUGUUUAAAAAUCCACUGUAAUAGGUCGUAUUUCACCUUUCAAUAUUCGUCUCCAAGUCAAGUCUGUUGUCGUUACCUUUCCAUGUUUCAAAAAAAAGAUUUUUUGUAAAGAAAUCAUUUCAAUACUUACGUC
Molecule: RNA transcript, 1322 nt
Organism: Hylaeus volcanicus
Lineage: Eukaryota; Metazoa; Arthropoda; Insecta; Hymenoptera; Colletidae
Exons: 10
Source: RefSeq, a predicted model, not a curated record